RNA transcript from Nerophis ophidion (straightnose pipefish), 3931 nucleotides. It is a transcript of the gene named RNA-binding protein 4B-like, with no coding region annotated. The transcript is spliced from 12 exons. The record is from RefSeq and is a predicted model, not a curated record. Lineage: Eukaryota; Metazoa; Chordata; Actinopteri; Syngnathiformes; Syngnathidae.
AAUCAAUCAAAAAUUCAAUCGGACGUUUCCGUUGUGUGGCAAAAGUGCGCCCCCUGUCGCCCACGAAACCGGAGCCGGAUGUGGAAUUUGAAACACAGCUCCAGGACCGCGUUGGAUGUCCUGGUUGUUACAGAGAUGAGCGGAGACUACGUCAAGUUGUUUGUGGGCAACCUUCCUUUAGAUGCAACCCAAGACGAACUCAACAAGCUUUUUGCUCCUUAUGGGGAGAUCAACACUUGCUCCUUGCUCAGACAGUAUGCCUUUGUUACCCUGAAUGGAGAUGGAGCGGCGGACAGGGCUAUACGGCAUCUGGACGGCAAGGAGUACAGAGGCAGACCACUUGUGGUGGAGGAGUCGCGUGCACGCCCGCCAAACUCCACCAAAGUGUUUGUGGGGAACCUCAGCGCCACUUGUUCCGCAGAUGACCUUCAUGGGCUGUUCUCGACAUUUGGGAAAGUUUUAGAUUGCGACAAAGUCAAAGCCAGGUUAUGUUCAAAUGUUGGCUAUGCAUUUGUACAUAUGGAAAGAAAGGAGGAGGCGUUGGCAGCUAUCGAGGCUCUCAAUGGGACAAUUUUCAAGGGCCGUCAGCUGGCUGUAGAGCUAUCCAAAGCUCAACCUUUGGUCAACCAGCUCCCAACAGGGAAUUCAGGCGGUGGUCGAGAGGGUCUCCUUCCUCGGCCAGCUGCCUCCUUGGAGCAUCACCAGAGUCAUGCUGCUGUGCUUGCAGCGGCUGCAGCAGCUGCCGCUGGACUACCCAUACAAGUGCAACAAAGCGUCCAUAACUCGUUCUACAAUACAACAUCCUUUGACCCGACUUAUGCUGCCCUGAAGGGCAUUACGAGUUCUAAAGGCGCAGACGGAGUUAUCUAUGGCGCUCUUGCCAGCCAAGUGUACGGAUCCGUGGCUGACCAGGUGUACCAUGACAUGGCCAAUCACACUACGGCACCAAGCACUGUGGCUGAAGAGUACGAGCCUCAGACCACACCGGACCCAACAACACUUUUUGAAGCUGCUAGAGCCAAAUUUUUCCAGGAGGGACAGAAGGUUCUGGCCGAGCAGCAGGCAGGAAGAAAAACAACAUCGACGACAAUCACCACCACAAGAACUACAGAUACAACAGCGUCAGAAACCGAGCGGGAUCGCAGCCCGAUCAGAGGAAACAAAACAGCCUUGCUUCCUGACCCUGGUCCAGGUUCCUUCGCAAAUCAAGCUAAGCGCCGUGCUUUGCUGCCGACGCCUCCAGGCGUGCCUGAAGACUCUGCAACUGCUACUGCUGAAGGGGCUGAUUCUGUUGCAAGGUCCUACACAGAAUAUUACCAGCAAAUGCAUCAGUACCAGCAGUACCAGCAACAAUAUCAACAACAGUACCAUUACCUCCAGUAUGCUUACACCAAUCCUCCGCCUCCUCCUCCGCCGGCCACAACAGAAUCUUCUAGUUCAAUCCCUCCACCCCCAGGGACAUAUACGGCACCCCCGACCUACUCUGCGACGCAAGACUACGGGCCCCCAGGAACGUACGACCCGCCCACGAGUUACGACCAAUCAUCGGCGAACUACAAUGCUUCGGCUGCGAGCUACGGCGCCUCCGGAAACUACAACGCCUCAGCCGGCUAUGACGCAUCGGGAGGCUACGGGGCGUACGAUACAUCCGGAGCUUACGCAGCAGCGGGAAGCUACUCCACAUCCACACCGUAUGAGCAGACACCAGCACACGGGCAACCCACGCCCCAGCGCAAUGAUUACCCUUACAACACGCCAGAACCCCCCUAUCGAUAGGCCCAACCCUUCACACAGUCCUACUCACUGCAGAUGUGUGUGAGUCGUUGCAUAAGGGACAGUUGAAGGGUGAAAUGAGGCAAGCGGCAAGGUUAUUUGAAAGUGCGGUAAAUCUCAUUGUUGUCAAUCUUGGCUUAUCUUGUCUCCAUCUAGCUUAGCUUUUGUUGGUGACUAUUUGAUACAUGCAGUAGUACUGCAUACAGACAUCUCUUCAUUGUUGCUCUUGCUCAGCUGGUUUUGAGAGGCAGGAAGUUAUACGUUAUGAGCCUGUAUCAGGGAAGGCCUUUUAUAAUAUCUACUUGGCAGUUAUGGAGCAUUGCUGGCUGUUUACGAUGUUAGGAUCGGGCAGUUUUUUAACAAAUUUUGACAGGAUACAGUUUUUUUAAAGAGUUCUAUCCCAGUUAAACAGGCCUAUUUAUCUUUUGUGAUGAUGAUUUGGACAUGUAUACACACCCAACUGCAUCGCAGUAUGGCCCCUCUGCAGUGUUUACAAUUGGCAUUUCUGCAUUUUUUGGUAAAAGUCAAGCCGUUUUUUAAUGGCAAAAUUCAACAAUUCGGGCACUCCCAACAUGUCUCCUUGCUCAACCUUGGCUUUUGAGUGAUUAAUUUUGAGCUAAGUUUGAAUGUUUCUGCAUAGCAUAACGUUUGGAAAACAUUUUGGAGAAUCCAUCUGUAUCCGCUGUCUGUCUUUGCGUUACUGGUAGGUUUGCGCAUCUUAUGUCAAAGGAAGGUGUCUCUCCUUCUGCUUUUUAAGUAGUAUUCAGUUUAAGAAUAUUUUGGAAAGUGUUUCAGGCUGCAGAUGUGAUUUAUUUGCAUGUAUAUACAUUUAUGAAUGCCAGGAAGCGUGAUUUGGCCGAUUUUGAUCUCUUCAAAUGUGAUGAAAGUCCCAACUGUUGAGUUUAAGUUACCCGUCAUACUUGGCAAUACUAGUGUAAAUAUAUCUUGCCUUCAUAAAUUGAAGUUGUAAGCCAACAUUUGGUUUUACACUGACUGUUAUUAGAUAUCAGGCCAUUGCAUCGGCGACAGGGGUGUGUGUAGAUGGGACAGGUGCAUAGAGGUUUGCUGAGCUAUAGGUGAGCCAUGCUGAGAUCUGUGUGGAUUGAGCAGGAAGACAGUUGACUCUGGUUUGUGAAAGCACACUCACACCUUGCUAGAUUUCACAUUCGGCCUCAUUCGCUACCACACAUGUAAAGUAAUGCCCCAGCUGACUCCGAAAGGCACACAUUGAGCUUCAUUUGUUUCCUUGGUGAUUGUAGCACACACUUUCUCUGUUGCACAGCCUUGUCACAUGCCACAAUAUUCCAGCUUCUCCAUGUAAACUUGUUAGUUGCAUGCCAUGUUGUUGCUGCUGCUCCAGCCACCUUCUUCCUCUUGCUGAUUAUUGCAGCUAGAGUGGGAGGGAGCCAUACUCUGAGCCCUUGCCCUGGACGUACGCCACGCGCUGCUGUAAGCGCGGGAUGGGGAAACAGCAGCGUUAGGCCUGAAACUGCUGUGGAUGAUGGGGUGGCCCCCCCCUCGCUAAAGAAAAGGAAAAAAUAGAAGAAAAGAAUAAGCGGCGUACACCUGACAGAGUUGUGAUGUAAAGGAGGACAAACGAAGAGAGCGAAAAAGAAGAGAGGGCCAGCGGCAGUGUGGGCAGGUCUGUAGGCUCGCCAAGAUGAAAAGGAACAAAACCUCAGUCGACUGUGUUUCUUCGCCCAGUGAAACUUCGGGCUACGAGUGUUGUCUGCUGUUUGUUCGAACCGCACGUGGAAGAACAAGGUGUACCUAAUGAAGUGUCACACAGAUCCCACCAUAAACGUGCAGACAGUGGUUCCAGCCCUGUCAAGCAGGAAAUUGCAAAAAGGAAAGAAAGCACCAAUUUAACAUAAAAACCUGAAGGCUGUAUGGAGUUGAACUGAAAGCUGUUUCCUCUGUAGCAGACGACGUUCACUUUCCGGUUGUCUCUGAUUGGUCAGGGAGUUGUCAUUUGGAACAAGAUGAGCAGUUGAUGUGCUGCUUGGUGGCGUUGGCGUACCCGGACAGCACGAGGGAGGGGGGCUCCCGCUCGGUCAGCGGACUCUCCUCGUUGCUCAGGAUGUGCUCCACCAAGAAGCGUGUUGCCUCCUCGAUGUUUGUGUUGUCCUGGAGUUAAAAUAAAAAACACUAAACAUGA